This 480-nucleotide ribosomal RNA is filed under the name Triticum aestivum (bread wheat). RNAcentral describes it as "partial small subunit ribosomal RNA". Lineage: Eukaryota; Viridiplantae; Streptophyta; Magnoliopsida; Poales; Poaceae. The record is from RNAcentral.
AUGUAUAACCUUCCUCCUUGGAUGUGCAUGAAGCGGAAGUUCAUUAUGAUGGCAGUUCUCAUCCAAGGCCCUAAGCAACCCGGCAACGACAUUGAUGUGUACCUAAGGCCAUUAGUUGAAGAACUUUUACAGCUGUGGAAUGAAAACGGUGUACGUACGUGGGACGAGGACAGACAGGAGGAAUUUAACCUUAAGACGUUGCUGUUCGUGACCAUCAAAGAUUGGCCCGCUCUCAGUAACCUUUCAGGACAGACAAACAAAGGAUACCACGCAUGCACGCACUGUUUAGAUGACACUGAAAGUAUAUACCUGGACAAAUACAGGAAGAAUGUGUACCUGGGCCAUCGUCAAUUUCUUCCGACCACCAUCAAUGUCGAAAGAAAGGCAAGCAUUUCAAAGGCGAUGCAGAUCACCGGAAGAAGCCCGCCAUGCGCAUCGGUGAUCACGUGCUUGCUAUGGUCAAUGAUUUACACUACGUAA